CCUACGGGAGGCAGCAGUGAGGAAUAUUGGUCAAUGGGAGGAAUCCUGAACCAGCCAUGCCGCGUGCAGGACGACGGCUCUACGAGUUGUAAACUGCUUUUGUACCGGGGUAAAAUGCUCUACGAGUAGGGUUUUGAAAGUACGGUACGAAUAAGGAUCGGCUAACUCCGUGCCAGCAGCCGCGGUAAUACGGAGGAUCCGAGCGUUAUCCGGAUUCAUUGGGUUUAAAGGGUGCGCAGGCGGCGUGUCAAGUCAGCGGUAAAAUGUCGGGGCUCAACCCCGGCCGGCCGUUGAAACUGGCGUGCUCGAGUUGGAGAGAAGUAUGCGGAAUUCGUGGUGUAGCGGUGAAAUGCAUAGAUAUCACGAAGAACUCCGAUUGCGAAGGCAGCUCACUGGACUGCAACUGACACUGAGGCUCGAAAGUGUGGGUAUCAAACAGGAUUAGAUACCCUUGUAGUC
RNAcentral lists this ribosomal RNA (459 nucleotides) under uncultured bacterium. RNAcentral describes it as "partial 16S ribosomal RNA". It matches the Rfam family "Bacterial small subunit ribosomal RNA", at positions 338 to 795 of the family's 1533-position model. The record is from RNAcentral.